GUCUAUAAGGAUAUAAUAUAUAGUCUGGCCUGCUCACUGAAUCUAAAAUUUUAAGAGCCGCAGUAUUUUGACUGUGCAAAGGUAGCGUAAUCAUUAGUUUCUUAAUUAGGAACUCGUAUGAAUGGUUAAACAAAAAAACUACUGUCUCUUUCUUAAUUGUUGAAUUUAACUUUUAAGUGAAAAGGCUUAAAUUUUUUAAAGGGACGAUAAGACCCUAUAAAGUUUAUAUAAAAAAAUAGGGUUUAAAAAAAUUAAACUUAUAAAUAUAAAAACUAUUUUUAUAUUUUGUUGGGGCGACACAGAUAUAAUUUUAUUUAACUGUUAUAACAAGAGACACGUAUAAGUGAGUGUAAUAAUGAUCCUAUAAAUAUAGAUUAAAAGACUAAGUUACUUUAGGGAUAACAGCAUAAUUUUUCUUAAGAGACCUUAUCGAAAGAAAAGAUUGUGACCUCGAUGUUGAAUUAAAAGUCUUUGCAAAGCAGCAUUUGCAGGAAGAAGGUCUGUUCGACCUUUAAAGUUUUACAUGAUUUGAGUUCAAACCGGUGUAAGCCAGGUU
RNAcentral lists this ribosomal RNA (556 nucleotides) under Pisa carinimana. RNAcentral describes it as "partial large subunit ribosomal RNA". It matches the Rfam family "Bacterial large subunit ribosomal RNA", at positions 1829 to 2632 of the family's 2925-position model. The record is from RNAcentral. Lineage: Eukaryota; Metazoa; Arthropoda; Malacostraca; Decapoda; Epialtidae.